Nelumbo nucifera (sacred lotus) is the source of this 3396-nucleotide non-coding RNA. The record is from RefSeq and is a predicted model, not a curated record. Lineage: Eukaryota; Viridiplantae; Streptophyta; Magnoliopsida; Proteales; Nelumbonaceae.
AGUAGGAGCAAGUGAGAAACCUUUUUCACUUAUCGGAUAGAUCUGUCUCAGAGCGACUGAGCGAUAGAGAGGGAAUGGAGAGAUACGCAGAGCUGAAGGAAGCAGUAGAGAAGUUAGAACUCGUGGACGCCCAUGCUCACAAUAUCGUUGACCUCGAUUCCACCUUCCCUUUCCUUAGAUGUUUUUCUGAAGCUGAAGGAGAGGCUUUAUCCUACGUCCCUCAUUCUCUCUCCUUCAAGAGAAGUUUGAGGGAUAUUGCUAAACUCUAUGGAUGUGAGACAUCACUGCAUGCUAUUGAAACACAUCGUAGAUCCUCUGGAUUACAGUCAAUUAGCAUAAAGUGCUUUGAAGCUGCGAAGAUAGGUGCCAUUCUUAUUGAUGAUGGAAUUGAGUUUGAUAAGAUGCAUGAUGUUGAGUGGCAUAGGAAUUAUUCACCAGUUGUUUGCAGGGUAUUAAGGAUUGAGCACCUGGCUGAGAAGAUUCUUGAUAAAGAAUUACCAAAUGGAUCAGAAUGGACAUUGGACAUGUUUACGGAAACCUUUAUGACAAAGUUGAAGUCUGUUGCUGAUAGAGUUGUUGCCUUGAAGAGCAUAGCUGCAUAUCGAAGUGGUCUAGAAAUUGAUACACAUGUUAAUAAGAAGGAUGCGGAGGAAGGACUUAUUGAAACCUUAAGUGCUGGGAAGCCCAUCCGCAUCCAGAAUAAGCACCUUAUUGAUUAUAUUUUUACAUGUAGUUUGGAGGUUGCUUUGAAGUUCAACUUGCCAAUGCAGAUACACACAGGUUUUGGAGACAAGGAUUUGGAUCUGAGACUGUCUAAUCCUCUUCAUCUGCGGACUGUUCUGGAGGACAAGAGAUUUGCAAGAAGUUGUAUUGUGCUUCUCCAUGCAUCCUAUCCAUUUUCAAAAGAAGCUUCAUAUCUGGCCUCGGUUUACCCCCAGGUCUAUGUUGACUUUGGACUGGCUGUACCAAAGCUUAGUGUCCAUGGGAUGAUAUCUUCAGUCAAAGGGCUUCUAGAGUUAGCUCCAAUAAAGAAGGUCAUGUUCAGCACUGAUGGUUAUGCAUUUCCUGAAACCUUUUAUUUAGGUGCUAAAAUAGCACGAGAAGUUGUAUUUUCUGUUCUAUGUGAUGCAUGUGAUGAUGGUGACUUCACAAUUCCUGAAGCUGUGGAAGCAGCUGAAGACAUCUUUAAGAAAAAUGCAAUUCGGCUUUACAAAAUUGAUGGGAUUAUUGAUCUUUUUGAUUCGAAGAAUGCUGUAUCCAAUGACUUAGUAAUGACAUUUCAAAAGGACAUUGUGUUUAUACGGAUUAUCUGGGUUGAUACCUCUGGACAGCAUCGAUGUCGUGUAGUUCCUAUAAAGCGUUUCUAUGAUGUUGUGAAGAAAAAUGGUGUAGGCUUAACUUCUGCAUCCAUGGCUAUGAGCUCAACUUCUGAUGGCCCAUCUAAUGGAACUAAUCUGACUGCAGUGGGUGAGAUCAGGUUGAUGCCUGAUUUGUCAAGAAAGUGGAUGCUCCCAUGGGCACAAAAAGAGGAAAUGGUUUUGGCAGACAUGCAUGUUAAACCUGGCCAAGCAUGGGAAUAUUGUCCAAGAGAGGCACUGCGAAGGAUUACAAAAAUCUUGAAAGAUGAAUUUAAUUUGGAAAUGAAUGCUGGUUUUGAAAAUGAAUUUUAUCUCCUAAGGAAUGUUUUAAGAGGUGGGAGGGAGGAAUGGGUACCAUUUGACUCAACACCCUAUUGCUCCACAUCGGCAUUUGAUUCUGCAUCCCCUUUGUUUCAAGAAGUUUACUUUGCUCUCCAGUCCUUGGAUAUCCCAGUGGAACAGCUUCAUGCAGAAUCUGGAAAGGGUCAGUUUGAAAUAGCUUUGGGGCAUAGAGUUUGUACUGAUGCUGCUGACAACCUAAUUUUUGCACGUGAAGCUAUUAGGGCCGUUGCAAGAAAACAUGGGUUACUGGCAACUUUUGUGCCCAAGUACUCAUUAGAUGAUAUUGGCUCCGGAUCUCAUGUGCACAUAAGUCUUUGGGAAAAUGGAAAAAAUGUUUUUAUGGGAUCCAAACAAUCAUCACUACACGGAAUGUCUGUGGUUGGAGAGGAGUUUAUGGCAGGAGUUUUAAGCCACCUUCCUUCAAUUUUAGCAUUUACUGCGCCACUCCCAAAUAGCUACGAUCGAAUUCAACCAGAUACUUGGAGUGGAGCAUAUCUUUGCUGGGGAAAAGAAAAUAGGGAAGCUCCACUGAGGACUGCAUGCCCACCCGGAGUAUCAGAUGGACUUGUAAGCAAUUUUGAGAUUAAAUCCUUUGAUGGGUGUGCAAAUCCACACUUGGGCUUGGCUUCUAUAGUUGCUGCUGGGAUUGAUGGCCUCCGUAGACAUCUUCGCUUACCUGAACCUGUUGAAACAAAUCCUUCUAGUCUUUCUGAAAGUAUUGAAAGACUGCCAAAAGAACUUUCUGAAUCUGUAGAAGCUCUUGAGAAAGAUGAGGUUAUGAAGAAUUUAAUUGGUGAAAAUCUUCUGAAAGCUGUAAUUGGUGUCCGUAAGGCAGAGAUUGACUACUAUUCCAAGAAUAAGGAUGCUUUCAAGCAACUUAUACAUCAAUACUAGUGAGCUAAGAUUAUUCAAAUGGGUUGGAACCAGUUCAUUUCUGCAAAUUGGUGGACACAAGUUUUUGAAGUACCUCUCCAUGUUUGGUGCAAAGCAACUUGAUUGCAACAAAUAAUGCCUUGGCAGAGUUCAUUGUGAUGCAUGGUCAAAUAUUGAACUGAAGCCAUCUUGACUAGGUUCAUUCUCUUGUUCAUGGGGGAUGAACAACUUUCUGAAGCUAUUCCAUAUGGGGAAGAUGAAGAUGGAGAUAAAUUUUCAAAUGGUUCGUUGUGAAACUCCAUCGAUGAGGUUUACACUGCAAACAAACACGGCCUUAGGUACUUUCUCUCUGUCACAUACAUGGAGUGCACUAGUAUUGGGUGAAUAUAAUCAUCUUUUAUCCAUGUUAAACACUGAUUAUUGAUUAUUAUUGCCUUGAUCUGCUGGUGUUCCAUCAGCAUGUUAGUAGUAGUAGUAGGAGUACGUGAGACAUAUAAAAGCAAUCCGUUGGUCGAUAAAUAUAAAACUCCGUCUCUGAUUCUCUGAUUAGCAUCAAUAGAAAUCAUUUUUGUUGAGCAGAUAGAGGUAAUACAGAAGACAAGGAAACAGGAGACAUCACUGCAUAUUGCUCUAAAAUUUGCAAACUUUCAUCCUUAAAUAAAUGAUGAACAGUUACCUCAUAAGGCCUGAUAUAUUGGCUUGACAGUUGAAGCCUUUCUGUGUGAAAAAACAAUUAGAGGCAAUCUUGAUUCAUAAGUAGCAAUGUUGUAAGGCUCAGACCAAUAAAUAGUUAAAUACAAAUGAUGUUGUGGUUUAGUGGUAA